UAGUUUAACAUGCUGUAAUUCAUCACCUUUCAACUCGUUUCAAACACAUAAAAUCAAUUCAUAUAAAUCAAGUAAUCAACAUGGCUUAUGAAUUUCUUAAAACUUUGGCUCGUGCCAAAAUCAUUCUCAUACUCAGUUAUCAGGGAUACCUUGCCCGAGGGCUAUCCCAAUUGAGACCGCCAAGGCUGUUAAAAAGUUAUGUACGCAUAAAUCAUGUUUUUAUUUUGAAAACAUAGUCGUUCCUUGGCGUUGGCUGAGUUCACCCUCACGUGGUGGUUUAGCGUGAAGUGAACUCUAAAGUGUUAACCUCAGGAGUUAUCCAUCCACACCUCUCAUAAUGAGGUAUGAAUAUAAUAGGGUUACCGUACCCCUUUAAUAGGCUAGUCCAUGGAACCCGUCCACUGCAGUGACCAAUAUAUAACCCACCAAGUCAAUAAAAUUCAACAGCAUGACAUGGCAAUUAUUUUAUUUUACAGCCUCUCAAGGCAAAUUAACAGCUCAUACAUUUUCAACACAAAUACCAAUUCAGUCAUUCAUGCAAAUAUUAUCAUAAGCCAUUCAAUUCAAACCAUGAUUUAUAACACAGCAAUUAGUCUCCAAUUACUUCAUUUUCAAAACCAUCUUUCAAUUUCAAGACAAUUUUAUAAAAUCAUUUCAUUUAAAAACAUUUUGCUUAUAAAACAUAAAGAUUUACCAUUUAAACUCAUUUUUCAUAAAAUCACAAAAUCAGAUAAAAACCACUUUAGAUAAUUGAAACGAUAGUAAGCUUACUCACUAUUUCGGGAGUCGAAUUUCGAGUACUCCGAUUCUUGAUCCUCAAGUACUAUCUCUUUACUUUUGCCAGAAUGCUCACCACCUAGACAUAAUGCACAAUAAGCCAUUUACUACAUUUGUGCUAAAUUGUUAUAAAACCAAUUCAGGCUCUAUACUAAUGCAUGAAAUGGAAUGCGAAUUGUUCGGAUUAUCGUCUAAACACGGUAUUCUACACAAAUUCAAUUGUGUACCUAAAUAAAACGGUAUUGGCCUAAUUCGAUCUAUCACUCGAUUAAUUGGCCAAUAUGUCCAAUUUAACUCCAAAUAAUUCCAUUUUUCUCCCAAUACUCCAAAUCAUCAAACACAAGUCAAAUAGCAUAAAAUCUAGCAAAAUCAUCUUCACAUUUUCUCUUGGAAAAAUUCGGCCAUGGUGGUUGCAUCAACAUUAUAAUUUUUCAAGCUUGAUUCUCACACCAUAAAUCACUAAUUCCUAACCAAAUCACUUGAAAUAAAAUCAAAAUCAUCAUCAAUAUUCCACAUGGAGAAUUCGGCCAAUGAUGGGUGAUGGGAGGAAAUGAAUUUUUCUUGUUGACUUUUCAUGCUACACAUCACUAACUAACUAAAAACACUUAAAUACAUUGAAAUCUAACCAAAUCAAGCAUCAAAACCUCCCUCUAAGUGUUUGGCCGGCAUGGGAUUCAUCAUGAAAUCAUGUGAUUCAACCAUGGAAAAUAAGAAAAAAUGCUUAAGAAAGAGAGAUCUCAAGCUAAAUUGAAAAUUCUUACCCUUUUUUCACUUGUUUCCUUGAAUUUUCACACUUUUCCCUUGAAUUUUUCCACCUUGGGUUUUGUUCUUCCUUUUCUUCCUUUGUUCUU
RNAcentral lists this long non-coding RNA (1628 nucleotides) under Theobroma cacao (cacao). RNAcentral's name for it is "long non-coding RNA (TCAC_LNC001007)". Lineage: Eukaryota; Viridiplantae; Streptophyta; Magnoliopsida; Malvales; Malvaceae. The record is from RNAcentral.